GGUGUGACUCAGUGGUAGAGCAUUUGCUGAGCAAGCAUAAGAAUCUGGGUUCCAUCCCCAGCACC
Molecule: transfer RNA, 65 nt
Filed under: Cricetulus griseus (Chinese hamster)
Lineage: Eukaryota; Metazoa; Chordata; Mammalia; Rodentia; Cricetidae
Rfam family: tRNA
About the family: Transfer RNA (tRNA) molecules are approximately 80 nucleotides in length. Their secondary structure includes four short double-helical elements and three loops (D, anti-codon, and T loops).
Source: Rfam by way of RNAcentral